GCUCGCAUGGCUUAGUUGGUAAAGCGCGUCACUAGUAUUUGCUUAUGACGAGAUCCUGUGUUCGAAUCACAGUGUGAGCA
RNAcentral lists this transfer RNA (80 nucleotides) under Terfezia boudieri ATCC MYA-4762. It matches the Rfam family "tRNA". From Rfam's summary of the family: Transfer RNA (tRNA) molecules are approximately 80 nucleotides in length. Their secondary structure includes four short double-helical elements and three loops (D, anti-codon, and T loops). Further hydrogen bonds mediate the characteristic L-shaped molecular structure. tRNAs have two regions of fundamental functional importance: the anti-codon, which is responsible for specific mRNA codon recognition, and the 3' end, to which the tRNAs corresponding amino acid is attached (by aminoacyl-tRNA synthetases). tRNAs cope with the degeneracy of the genetic code in two manners: having more than one tRNA (with a specific anti-codon) for a particular amino acid; and 'wobble' base-pairing, i.e. permitting non-standard base-pairing at the 3rd anti-codon position. The record is from Rfam by way of RNAcentral. Lineage: Eukaryota; Fungi; Ascomycota; Pezizomycetes; Pezizales; Pezizaceae.